CACGUAGGGUGCGAGCGUUGUCCGGAAUUAUUGGGCGUAAAGGGCUCGUAGGCGGUCUGUUGCGUCGGGAGUGAAAACUUACAGCUUAACUGUGAGCGUGCUUCCGAUACGGGCAGACUUGAGGUAUUCAGGGGAGAACGGAAUUCCUGGUGUAGCGGUGAAAUGCGCAGAUAUCAGGAGGAACACCGGUGGCGAAGGCGGGUCUCUGGGCCGAUACUGACGCUGAGGAGCGAAAGCGUGGGGAGCGAACAGG
Molecule: ribosomal RNA, 253 nt
Filed under: uncultured bacterium
Lineage: Bacteria
Description: partial 16S ribosomal RNA
Rfam family: Bacterial small subunit ribosomal RNA
Source: RNAcentral